CGUGCUUAAUACAUGCAAGUCAACUUGACUUUAGAUAGCAAUAUCGAAAGUAGGGUGGCGCACGGGUGCGUAACGCGUAGGUAAUCUGCCCUGAGGUCUGACAUAACCCGUCGAAAGGCGGGCUAACAUCAGAUGAUAUAUAAUCACGACAUCGUGGAAAUAUCAAAUCUUCGGAGCCUUGGGAUGAGCCUGCGUCUGAUUAGGUAGUUGGCGGAGUAAUAGCCCACCAAGCCUACGAUCAGUAGCUGGUCUGAGAGGAUGAUCAGCCACACUGGAACUGAGACACGGUCCAGACUCCUACGGGAGGCAGCAGUAAGGAAUAUUGCUCAAUGGGGGAAACCCUGAAGCAGCAACGCCGCGUGAAGGAUGAAAUACUUUGUAUGUAAACUUCUGUAAGAUGGGAAAAAUAUUCUCCUCGGGAGAAUUGAUUGUACCAUCAGAGUAAGCCCCGGCUAACUACGUG
This 463-nucleotide ribosomal RNA is filed under the name uncultured bacterium. Its description in RNAcentral is "bacterial SSU rRNA". It matches the Rfam family "Bacterial small subunit ribosomal RNA", at positions 43 to 507 of the family's 1533-position model. The record is from RNAcentral.